GUACUGACCCUACGGGGGGCAGCAGUGGGGAAUAUUGCACAAUGGGGGAAACCCUGAUGCAGCAACGCCGCGUGAGUGAUGACGGUCUUCGGAUUGUAAAGCUCUGUCUUUGGGGACGAUAAUGACGGUACCCAAGGAGGAAGCCACGGCUAACUACGUGCCAGCAGACGCGGGAAUACGUAGGUGGCAAGCGUUGACCGGAUUUACUGGGCGUAAAGGGAGAGGGGGCGGAUUUUGAAGUGGGUGGGAGACGGCUGU
Molecule: ribosomal RNA, 258 nt
Filed under: uncultured bacterium
Lineage: Bacteria
Description: partial 16S ribosomal RNA
Rfam family: Bacterial small subunit ribosomal RNA
Source: RNAcentral